Molecule: small nuclear RNA, 149 nt
Filed under: Mustela putorius furo (domestic ferret)
Lineage: Eukaryota; Metazoa; Chordata; Mammalia; Carnivora; Mustelidae
Description: U4 spliceosomal RNA
Rfam family: U4 spliceosomal RNA
About the family: U4 small nuclear RNA (U4 snRNA) is a component of the major U2-dependent spliceosome. The structure of U4 snRNA from yeast and human has been reported.
Source: Rfam by way of RNAcentral
AGCUUUGCGCAGUGGCAGUAUCGUAGCCAAUGAGGUUUAUCCGAGGCACGAUUAUUGCUAAUUGAAAACUAUUAAUAGUGAAAUGGGAGCAGUUUCUUUGCUUGAAAACUAUUAGAGUUAGUGAUAAUGUUUUGGAGAAGCAUUUUCUU